RNAcentral lists this ribosomal RNA (253 nucleotides) under uncultured bacterium. RNAcentral describes it as "partial 16S ribosomal RNA". It matches the Rfam family "Bacterial small subunit ribosomal RNA", at positions 524 to 776 of the family's 1533-position model. The record is from RNAcentral.
UACGUAGGGCGCGAGCGUUGUCCGGAUUUAUUGGGCGUAAAGGGCUCGUAGGCGGUUUGUCGCGUCGGGAGUGAAAACCUCGGGCUUAACUCGGGGCUUGCUUUCGAUACGGGCAGACUGGAGGUAUGCAGGGGAGAACGGAAUUCCUGGUGUAGCGGUGAAAUGCGCAGAUAUCAGGAGGAACACCGGUGGCGAAGGCGGUUCUCUGGGCAUGACCUGACGCUGAGGAGCGAAAGUGUGGGGAGCGAACAGG